RNAcentral lists this ribosomal RNA (497 nucleotides) under uncultured bacterium. Its description in RNAcentral is "partial 16S ribosomal RNA". It matches the Rfam family "Bacterial small subunit ribosomal RNA", at positions 28 to 507 of the family's 1533-position model. The record is from RNAcentral.
GAUGAACGCUGGCGGCGUGCCUAAUACAUGCAAGUCGAGCGAACGGACGAGAAGCUUGCUCCUCUGAUGUUAGCGGCGGACGGGUGAGUAACACGUGGAUAACCUACCUAUAAGACUGGGAUAACUUCGGGAAACCGGAGCUAAUACCGGAUGAUAUUUUGAACCGCAUGGUUCAAAAGUGAAAGACGGUUUUGCUGUCACUUAUAGAUGGAUCCGCGCUGCAUUAGCUAGUUGGUAAGGUAACGGCUUACCAAGGCAACGAUGCAUAGCCGACCUGAGAGGGUGAUCGGCCACACUGGAACUGAGACACGGUCCAGACUCCUACGGGAGGCAGCAGUAGGGAAUCUUCCGCAAUGGGCGAAAGCCUGACGGAGCAACGCUGCGUGAGUGAUGAAGGUCUUCGGAUCGUAAAACUCUGUUAUUAGGGAAGAACAUAUGUGUAAGUAACUGUGCACAUCUUGACGGUACCUAAUCAGAAAGCCACGGCUAACUACGUG